AAUAGCCGUUCAAAACCCUAGCCGCAGGCGUUUUUGGCGAUUCUCGCUCACGUUGCUUUCUCCUACGCUGGCGUUUGUUUGCUCCACCGUCACUGGUCUCACCUCUUCUGGAAUGAAAGAUUCUUGGAUGUACACAAGUUGGUACAUGUUUUAGCUGAAAAACAAAAUUAUGUAUUAUGCAACUGGUGAAUGUGAAAGUUCUUUUCCGGAGGAGAUUCAUUUUAUAGCUGAUGAUGAUGAUCCCAUCAUUAUAAACGGAGGAUCCUGUACUCGAUCACGAAAAAUAACGAUAAUAAUUUGCCUUGAAAGUAGACUAGAUUACCUUCAUAAUGAUUUAGACUACAGAAAAUGGAGCAACAGUAACAUGAAGAGCUCUAACAUUUGUCUCCAUAUGUAAGCGGUUCCCCCAAGGAAAGUUAGGGGGAAAGCAAAAAACCAAAAGCCUCGCAGGAUGGUCAAAGCGGGGGGGCCGUUUCUCUUACCCGUCGGUGUACCAAGCGACCUAUUUUCAUGCGAGACGGGUAUGUAUAUAUGGCGGACCACCCCGUUCGAUAAAAUGGGUUGGGAGAAAGUUCCAACACCUUAUAGGGAUGCCAUCAUGAACCACCUAAAGCCUAGAAGGUUUUCCUUCAAGUGUUCCCAACUGAUCAAUCUUUUGAACAAAGUCCAUUCCUGAUAUCCCUCCCAAAAACAACUUUCCUCCUGCCAUAUAACCGAUUAAACAGUUGAGGUUGAAACGGAAGAGAUGAGGGCUAAAUUGAUGGACAAAGAGCCUAUGGUAUUUGAGGCACAUGCAAAGAAGAUUGAAUCCUUACUAGAAAAGUCCAGAAAAGAUUUACGGGAUAGUGAACCUAUGAAAGCCAAAAGAAGAGAAUUUGCACGUAUGUUGUGUAAAUAUCACACAGUAGAAUCAUGGGUGGGAAGCAAGAGAGUUGGUGAUGUUCUUUGGAACCAAACAAAAAAACACAAAGAUAAUAAAGAAUUGACAACGAAGAAGAAAAACACAAUGGAAAGCAAAAAUGUUCCAACAAUGAAAAAGGAAAACACAAUCAAAAGCAUAAAAGUUCUAAGUCUACGAGAUGAAAUUAAUGAAAAACUGAAAGAAACGGUUGUUGUAGAUGAAGUCAUGGCUGUGGAAACGUCUACAACUCAUCAAGAAAACGUCGAAAAGCAAACUGCUGAUGUUGAAGUAGAACAAAACAAAAAAAAAACAAGUGAAAAUGUUGAUGUUGCUCAUCAAGAGAAAGCCCUUACUAAAGCAUAGGGACACAUACGAAAGAGAAGAGGAGGUGAUCCUUGAUGACUUCACCAAUAACAUGAAUGAGGUUUUGAGAAAAGAAAAGGUAAAAACUAUCAAAGACUUUGACAUUGUCUUUGUACCUAUCUUUCAUCAUGAGAAAAACCACUUUUAUCUCAUGUGUUUCGACCUCAAACGCACAAAGACUACAUUGCUUGACAACAUUGCACCACUUGAAAAUGAGGAAAAGGGUGAUCAUGAUCCCUACGAUGGUCGGACACGAAAAACAAAACAAGCUUUUGAAGGUUAUCUUGAACGUAUCUCACAUCCAAAAGCAACAGACAUGAAGGCUACAUCAAUAAAUCGUCUUAAAAUGUCAUGGAGAACUUGUUUUAAUUGUAUUGAUUGUGGGUUUUUCCUUAUGCGCCACAUGGAAACGUACAUGGGUGAAGAUGCAAAAGAUUAUCAUUGUGGUUUCGUAGUAGAGAAUACUGGAUUACAACAGAAACAAAUUGAAGGCUUGCGCCGAAAGUACACAACCAAGAUGUUGGUGCAUAUUUCGUAUGUCUGCCACUGUGCGAAUAGCUAGAUAGAGCGUGUGUUGAAUAUUGUAUAUAAUAGAGUGAAAUCCAGUACGAAACCAAGGCAUUGUGAUGUAACAGUACCUUCGUAGGACUGCUUUGUGGGUUCGUACUGAUGUCCAAGACCAUAGCAGCUUCGUACGAAGGCACCCAUGUGGGUUCGUACGAAACCAGCAUGCCUAUACAUAGGAUGCUUAGGUCUUGUGUUGGACAAGCUUUUGGUCCCUAAGGGGAGAUGCUGUCCAACUGGUUUCAUGAUGCUGUAACUGUCAAGUUAUCAAUAGAAACCAGAUUAUAAGUGACUGUUUGGUGUUGUAUUCUACUUCUACUCCUUUCUUAGUGAUAAUAAAUACACUGAACACGUCGUAUUGGGACCAAAGCUCCGUCAAACUCGCCGGAUCCUGGAAUCUCACAAGAUCUGGUUACACGACGUUAACGAAAAUAAACCAUAUGUUAUUUCCUUGGUGCACAAGUUUCGAGAGUUACCAGCUAAACAAAAACAACAGCUACAACGAGGUGGUUAUAAAAGAAUCUUGUCAAGGCUGCAUAACGAAGUCGAUUAUGUUGAUGUUUUUUUCAUUUUGGACUUGAUGUAUAGGAACUUGAUGUAUAGGAACUUGAUGUUUUUUU
Molecule: RNA transcript, 2448 nt
Organism: Helianthus annuus (common sunflower)
Lineage: Eukaryota; Viridiplantae; Streptophyta; Magnoliopsida; Asterales; Asteraceae
Exons: 8
Source: RefSeq, a predicted model, not a curated record